This 496-nucleotide ribosomal RNA is filed under the name uncultured bacterium. Its description in RNAcentral is "partial 16S ribosomal RNA". It matches the Rfam family "Bacterial small subunit ribosomal RNA", at positions 30 to 523 of the family's 1533-position model. The record is from RNAcentral.
AUUGAACGCUGGCGGAAUGCUUUACACAUGCAAGUCGAACGGUAGAGGGGGCAACCCCUCGAGAGUGGCGAACGGGUGAGUAAUAUAUCGGAACGUGCCCAGUCGGGGGGGAUAACGUAGCGAAAGUUACGCUAAUACCGCAUACGAUCUAAGGAUGAAAGCGGGGGAUCGCAGGACCUCGCGUGAUUGGAGCGGCCGAUAGCAGAUUAGGUAGUUGGUGGGGUAAAGGCUCACCAAGCCAACGAUCUGUAGCUGGUCUGAGAGGACGACCAGCCACACUGGAACUGAGACACGGUCCAGACUCCUACGGGAGGCAGCAGUGGGGAAUUUUGGACAAUGGACGCAAGUCUGAUCCAGCCAUUCCGCGUGCAGGAUGAAGGCCCUCGGGUUGUAAACUGCUUUUGUACGGAACGAAAAGGUCUCUCUUAAUACGGGGGGCUCAUGACGGUACCGUAAGAAUAAGCACCGGCUAACUACGUGCCAGCCGCCGCCGUAA